Molecule: ribosomal RNA, 253 nt
Filed under: uncultured bacterium
Lineage: Bacteria
Description: partial 16S ribosomal RNA
Rfam family: Bacterial small subunit ribosomal RNA
Source: RNAcentral
UACGGAGGGGGUUAGCGUUGUUCGGAAUUACUGGGCGUAGAGCGCGCGUAGGCGGAUUAGAAAGUUGGGGGUGAAAUCCCGGGGCUCAACCUCGGAACUGCCUCCAAAACUGCUAGUCUAGAGUUCGAGAGAGGUGAGUGGAAUUCCGAGUGUAGAGGUGAAAUUCGUAGAUAUUCGGAGGAACACCAGUGGCGAAGGCGGCUCACUGGCUCGAUACUGACGCUGAGGUGCGAAAGUGUGGGGAGCAAACAGG